UGGGGUAUCGUCUAAUGGUAGGACAUCAGGUUUUGGUCCUGAGUAUCGAGGUUCGAGUCCUUGUACCCCAGCAA
Molecule: transfer RNA, 74 nt
Filed under: Candidatus Nomurabacteria bacterium
Lineage: Bacteria; Candidatus Nomuraibacteriota
Description: tRNA-Gln
Rfam family: tRNA
About the family: Transfer RNA (tRNA) molecules are approximately 80 nucleotides in length. Their secondary structure includes four short double-helical elements and three loops (D, anti-codon, and T loops). Further hydrogen bonds mediate the characteristic L-shaped molecular structure. tRNAs have two regions of fundamental functional importance: the anti-codon, which is responsible for specific mRNA codon recognition, and the 3' end, to which the tRNAs corresponding amino acid is attached (by aminoacyl-tRNA synthetases). tRNAs cope with the degeneracy of the genetic code in two manners: having more than one tRNA (with a specific anti-codon) for a particular amino acid; and 'wobble' base-pairing, i.e. permitting non-standard base-pairing at the 3rd anti-codon position.
Source: RNAcentral